ACCCUGUCCACAGCCCCCACACAGACUCGAGGGGCCCCCAUCUCCUGUUCUGAACCCAACAGGGUGGUCCCACUGUGGGACCACAACCAGGUAUGACUGUGUGAGAAGCAGGCUCACUACCAGGCUACCAGGGAGCACAGGGGAGCAGGCGCCACCUUGAGGCAUAAACCCAGAGAAACAAGACCUCCAAGACGGCCAGGCACUGGGGCACACGCCGGUAACACAGCACCGUGGGAGCUGAGACGGAAGGAUCGCCUGGGCCCAGGAUUUUGAAACCACCCUGGGCAACACAGUGAGACCCCGUAUCUACAAAAAAAUACACAUUAGCCAGGCAUGGCGGCAUGCGCCUGUGGUCCCAAGUACUCGGGAGGUAGAGGAGAGAAAAAUCACUUGAGCCCAGAGAGGUCAAGGCUACAGGGAGCUAAGAUCGCAUCACUGUACUCCAGCUGGGGUGAAACGGCGAGACUCUACCUCAAAAAUAAAUAAAUACAUACAUAAUUAAUAAAUAAAACAUCAAAGACCAGCCGACCUAACUCCAUCUAAAAUACACAACUUCUACGCAAAAUAUAAAUAAAAUUAGAAAACAAACUACAAUCUCAGAAAAGCACUAGCAACUUAGACGACAUACUAAAGGCCAAAAAUACCCUCCUGACACACAGCUAAUAAAGAAAAAGUCAACUAUUCCAGUUAAAAAGAAGAAAAGGAAACUGGCUGUGGUGGCUUAUGCCUGUAAUCCCAGUGCUUUGGGAAGGCCAGGAGUUUGAGACCAGGAUGGACAGCAUAGCAAGACCCCAUCUCUACAAGGAAAAAAAGAAUCAGCCAGGCAUGGUGGUGUGGAGCUGUAGUUCCAACUACUCGGGGGGCUGAGGAGGAAGGAUCGCUUGAGCCAGGGAGGUCGAGGCUGCAGUGAGCUAUGAUUGUGCCACUGCAGUCCAGCCUGGGCGACAGAGCAAGACCCGGUCUCGAAAGAAAAGAAAGAGAAAGCAAGAAAAGAAAGAUGGCUGGGCACGGUGGCUC
Molecule: long non-coding RNA, 1017 nt
Filed under: Homo sapiens (human)
Lineage: Eukaryota; Metazoa; Chordata; Mammalia; Primates; Hominidae
Description: LHRI_LNC90.1
Source: RNAcentral